CCUACGGGUGGCAGCAGUGGGGAAUAUUGCACAAUGGGCGCAAGCCUGAUGCAGCCAUGCCGCAUGUGUGAAGAAGGCCUUCGGGUUGUAAAGCACUUUCAGCGGGGAGGAAGGCGUUAAGGUUAAUAACCUUGGCGAUUGACGUUACCCGCAGAAGAAGCACCGGCUAACUCCGUGCCAGCAGCCGCGGUAAUACGGAGGGUGCAAGCGUUAAUCGGAAUUACUGGGCGUAAAGCGCACGCAGGCGGUCUGUCAAGUCGGAUGUGAAAUCCCCGGGCUCAACCUGGGAACUGCAUUCGAAACUGGCAGGCUAGAGUCUUGUAGAGGGGGGUAGAAUUCCAGGUGUAGCGGUGAAAUGCGUAGAGAUCUGGAGGAAUACCGGUGGCGAAGGCGGCCCCCUGGACAAAGACUGACGCUCAGGUGCGAAAGCGUGGGGAGCAAACAGGAUUAGAUACCCGAGUAGUC
RNAcentral lists this ribosomal RNA (465 nucleotides) under uncultured Klebsiella sp. RNAcentral describes it as "bacterial SSU rRNA". It matches the Rfam family "Bacterial small subunit ribosomal RNA", at positions 338 to 795 of the family's 1533-position model. Lineage: Bacteria; Pseudomonadati; Pseudomonadota; Gammaproteobacteria; Enterobacterales; Enterobacteriaceae. The record is from RNAcentral.